AUGGAAAAGAAAGAUGCUAAGCCUAGACUCAUUAGAUGGGUUCUCUUGCUCCAAGAAUUUGACUUGCAUAUUAUUGAUAGAAAGGGAGCUGAGAACCCCGUUGCAGACAACUUGUCUAGGUUAGAGAAUGUUCUUGAUGACCCACUGCCUAUUAAUGAUAGUUUUCCUGAUGAACAAUUAGCGGUUGUCAAUGCUUCUCGUACUGCUCCUUGGUAUGCUGACUAUGCUAACACUACUAGGGAAAACCUUAUACAUAGAAGUUUAUUAGUAGCGCGGUUUAAAAAUGGGCGCUACUGCUAA
This 300-nucleotide ribosomal RNA is filed under the name Triticum aestivum (bread wheat). Its description in RNAcentral is "partial small subunit ribosomal RNA". The record is from RNAcentral. Lineage: Eukaryota; Viridiplantae; Streptophyta; Magnoliopsida; Poales; Poaceae.